Molecule: ribosomal RNA, 677 nt
Filed under: uncultured bacterium
Lineage: Bacteria
Description: bacterial SSU rRNA
Rfam family: Bacterial small subunit ribosomal RNA
Source: RNAcentral
UAGAUAGUAGGCGGGGUAACGGCCCACCUAGUCUUCGAUGGAUAGGGGUUCUGAGAGGAAGGUCCCCCACAUUGGAACUGAGACACGGUCCAAACUCCUACGGGAGGCAGCAGUGAGGAAUAUUGGUCAAUGGACGAGAGUCUGAACCAGCCAAGUAGCGUGAAGGAUGAAGGUUCUAUGGAUUGUAAACUUCUUUUAUACGGGAAUAAACGGAUCCACGUGUGGAUUUUUGCAUGUACCGUAUGAAUAAGGAUCGGCUAACUCCGUGCCAGCAGCCGCGGUAAUACGGAGGAUCCGAGCGUUAUCCGGAUUUAUUGGGUUUAAAGGGAGCGUAGAUGGGUUGUUAAGUCAGUUGUGAAAGUUUGCGGCUCAACCGUAAAAUUGCAAUUGAUACUGGCAGUCUUGAGUACAGUUGAGGUAGGCGGAAUUCGUGGUGUAGCGGUGAAAUGCUUAGAUAUCACGAAGAACUCCGAUUGCGAAGGCAGCUUACUAACCUGUAACUGACAUUGAUGCUCGAAAGUGUGGGUAUCAAACAGGAUUAGAUACCCUGGUAGUCCACACGGUAAACGAUGAAUACUCGCUGUAGGCGAUAUACAGUCUGCGGCCAAGCGAAAGCAUUAAGUAUUCCACCUGGGGAGUACGCCGGCAACGGUGAAACUCAAAGGAAUUGACGGGGG